Molecule: unclassified non-coding RNA, 263 nt
Filed under: Hevea brasiliensis (rubber tree)
Lineage: Eukaryota; Viridiplantae; Streptophyta; Magnoliopsida; Malpighiales; Euphorbiaceae
Source: RNAcentral
GAUAAUGCCAGGGCUGCAGCCUUUCAGGUAAUCCGCUAUGAAAAGGCCCAAGGUCCUGUCUUAAUUAUCAAUGAAGGCAAAGAGCCUUCUGAUUUUUGGAGUGCGAUUAGUCAGGAAAGCUUCUUUUCUGGUGGUUGUGGCAAAGAAAAGAACAAGGUGGAAGCCAGUUUAUUAGCUGAAAAUGACUUAAUUACUGAUAAUAUCAGCCAGUGUAUUGGUCAAAAGAAUGAAUAUGAUCUUGAUUUUGAAAUUUUCUGCAAAGC